RNAcentral lists this ribosomal RNA (56 nucleotides) under uncultured eukaryote. RNAcentral describes it as "partial small subunit ribosomal RNA". The record is from RNAcentral.
GAUGAUUGGGGUGAAGUCGUAACAAGGUAGCCGUAGAUGAACCUGCAGAAGGAUCA